UCGGGAAUUUUGGGCAAUGGGCGAAAGCCUGACCCAGCAACGCCGCGUGAAGGAUGAAGUAUUUCGGUAUGUAAACUUCGAAAGAAUAGGAAGAAUAAAUGACGGUACUAUCUAUAAGGUCCGGCUAACUACGUGCCAGCAGCCGCGGUAAUACGUAGGGACCAAGCGUUGUUCGGAUUUACUGGGCGUAAAGGGCGCGUAGGCGGCAAUUCAAGUCAUCUGUGAAAUCUCCGGGCUUAACUCGGAACGGUCAGAUGAUACUGCUUUGCUAGAGUGCAGAAGGGGCAAUCGGAAUUCUUGGUGUAGCGGUGAAAUGCGUAGAUAUCAAGAGGAACACCUGAGGUGAAGACGGGUUGCUGGGCUGACACUGACGCUGAGGCGCGAAAGCCAGGGGAGCAAACGGGAUUAGAUACCCAUGUAGUCCCUGAGCGGGCUGGCAAGGCGCAU
Molecule: ribosomal RNA, 447 nt
Filed under: uncultured bacterium
Lineage: Bacteria
Description: bacterial SSU rRNA
Rfam family: Bacterial small subunit ribosomal RNA
Source: RNAcentral